CAUCAUUUAUGUGUUACACAUUUUCAACACAUGACAACACAGCUUUGCUACUGAGCAAAGUCUUAUUUAAAAGAUUCACUUCUUAUUCUAGCUUUCUUUUUUACUGUGUGCCUGCACGGUCAUUCUCACCACUUGACGGUAGAGGAGUUUUUUUUUUUUUUUAGUUCAUACGCCGUUCUCAGAAUAUGAAAGUCUGUCGGCUUCAGCCAGAUGAGCAGCAGGCCAUUAGCACUUUUGCUCAGAGGUAGUUUUUUCAAACGAGGAAAAUGUGGGUGCCAACCGCUUGGACCAUUUUUGGCUUCCAUGAAGAGUUUCUUUCUACAAAGUGCAGAUUUAAGAGCCUCUUUCUGCGUGAUUACAUGUGUUUAGCGUGAACGCAUACGUGCGUGUGUGUGUGUGUGUGUGUGUGUGUGUGUGUGUGUGUGUGUGUGUGCGUGCACGCUCUGUGCCGGCUCAUCCAUAGUGAGUUGAGGUCCACCGCCUCGGGGCAGAGUCCAACUCAUUCUCCCAUCACACUCCUCCGCCCACUCAGUCUGACAGACUGGUUUGAGAUAGGAACAAAGCCAACAUUCAUGAAAAAAAUCCCCGAAAAAUAGCACAUCUACCCGAGAGCUUUUGUGAGACUACAAUCCAUUAGUUUAGCACAAAGACGUAUUUCUAUCCUGUUUGCUUUGUUUUCAUGGAUUUACUCAAAUAUUUCUAAAUGAAUUUAAUGGUGAUAGUUGGCAGAAUUCCCACAUGCGUGUAUUAAAACUGACAUUCUUAUUUAAUUCUUCAACUGUUGCACCCUCUUAACCUCCCCUCACAGGUCUUUGUGCAGCCAUAACUAUAAACCUUGCAUUGACGUCUUCUUUCCCUACCCUGGCUGACAGCGUUUUUACAAACUGCAUGGAUCCAUUUUCUGCUUUCCCUUCUUUUCCCUGGUUUCCUUUCUCCCCCCAAAAGCCCGGCCCCUCCUAACAUUUCUCAGAGAACUAAAAGAAAUUGGAGGAGUUUUUGUUCUGCAUGGAGGAGAAUCACGCCGAGGAUGGCUGCAGCGAGACGGCGGACCUGACAGAGCGCUGCGAGCUGAUCAGUGAUAGGCUGCUGACCUUGGAAGAUGAAUUGCAGACGGCCGUACUGAACCGGGACUGUGUCCUUACCCAUAUCCUUUCACUGUUCUCUAAAUAUACUGUAUGCUACCUGUGCGUGUUUCUGUCUUUGUCCAUCCAUCUUCAGGACCUAGUUUCCUCGAGGUCUUUACACUCUAAAAAAAGCACACAGCCGAACUACCUUUAGGCCCUCUGAUGUUCUGUGACUUUACCUUUUGUGAGGGAAAAAAAAAAUCAACCUGUCUUAUUUGACAUUAUGGGACCAUUCAGCUAAGGAAUUGCAGAUAAACUGGGAUCAGAGGAUCUUUCUUGACAUGCCUGCUGAAAAAUGGUAAAAGUCCUCGUGAGCUUAUUGGGGGGCGCUUGAUGUGGGCUGCCAGUCACCACGGGCUGAGAUUAAAGUCGGCGAACGGGAGCGAAUUGGAAUGUCACCGUAAUGACUCUGCUCCCGUCAUAUCGUCACGUCCACCCUCCCGCUGACCCUCGCCCCCCUCCACCCCCUCCUCCGUCUGCUUACUUCCACUUGCUGCAUCUGGCUCGGAGGAAAUUACAAUAUCUAUGAUAAUGACUCAAAUGAAGCUGAUUACCGGUUACAAUACAUAAUUUUCCGUGCUAAUUAGAAAGCUGAUUGGAAAUAGAUUAGUAUGUUUUUCUCUCUCUCAACUUUCCCCCCCUUAUUAAGCC
Molecule: long non-coding RNA, 1775 nt
Organism: Gasterosteus aculeatus aculeatus (three-spined stickleback)
Lineage: Eukaryota; Metazoa; Chordata; Actinopteri; Perciformes; Gasterosteidae
Source: Ensembl